This 127-nucleotide small RNA is filed under the name Marmota monax (woodchuck). Lineage: Eukaryota; Metazoa; Chordata; Mammalia; Rodentia; Sciuridae. The record is from RNAcentral.
GCCAGGCAUGGUGGUGCACACCUGUAAUCCCAGUAGUUUGGGAGGCUGAGGCAGGAGAAUCGCAAGUUGGAGGCCAGCCUCAGCCACUUAGUGAGGCCCUAAGCAACUCAGUGAGACCCUAUCUCAA